AGAUCCUGCUUGCCAAACAGAACAUCUACCUCAGCCAGUUUCUCAACACCCUCACCUGUUCAGAUCUGCCUCUCUCCACAGCACACGAAUUGCUCUGCCUCACUCUCUCCCACGUGGCCACCCUGUAUUCAUUCACCAUAAUGGUGCCUUGUCCUCUGGAACCCUCCAGGCCUAGAAACACAGAGCACUUCCAGAAAUCACUACAGUUUUGGCAUGACUGACUGCUUUCAACUUUCAUCUGUUGGUUAACUUCCCUUAAAUAUCCUAAGAGACCAGGAAUGGAUUAAAACCCAUUUUGGAAAGGAGAACCAGGGAUGGAUGAAGGAGAAGGUACCAUAUAAUGCAACAGUAAAGACACCAGUCUCCAGGACUCCCUUCUCCCCAACCUGCUCCAUGCUGUGUCUCCUGGGAAGUCAGAGAUUACACACAUUACACAGUCCUUUUAAUAGUGCCCUUUGAGAGCAACAUGGGGACCUCCCCAACAUUCCCAACUGAGUGCAUACCCUUCUUUCCCUGGAACUUCUGAACAAGCACCAGGGCCAUUCUGUGAUCUAUAGAUAUUGCAGGGAGUGUUUGGUUUGCCUUUUUCUGUAUAUCCUUCAUGCAAAAUAAAGGGAUUUCAGCUGC
Molecule: long non-coding RNA, 627 nt
Organism: Mesocricetus auratus (golden hamster)
Lineage: Eukaryota; Metazoa; Chordata; Mammalia; Rodentia; Cricetidae
Exons: 2
Source: RefSeq, a predicted model, not a curated record